RNAcentral lists this ribosomal RNA (424 nucleotides) under uncultured bacterium. RNAcentral's name for it is "bacterial SSU rRNA". It matches the Rfam family "Bacterial small subunit ribosomal RNA", at positions 359 to 776 of the family's 1533-position model. The record is from RNAcentral.
GAAUCAUUCACAAUGGGCGCAAGCCUGAUGGUGCGACGCCGCGUGGGGGAUGAAGGCCUUCGGGUCGUAAACCCCUGUCAUCCGCGAACAAACCUUUUCGGUUAACACCCGGGAAGCUGAUCGUAGCGGCAGAGGAAGGGACGGCUAACUCUGUGCCAGCAGCCGCGGUAAUACAGAGGUCCCGAGCGUUGUUCGGAUUUACUGGGCGUAAAGGGUGCGUAGGUGGCUGGGCAAGUUUGAUGUGAAAGCUCCGGGCUCAACCCGGAAAAUGCAUUGAAAACUGCCCGGCUUGAGGAUCGGAGAGGAGACCGGAAUUCUCGGUGUAGCAGUGAAAUGCGUAGAUAUCGAGAGGAACACCAGUGGCGAAGGCGGGUCUCUGGACGAUUCCUGACACUGAGGCACGAAAGCCAGGGGAGCAAACAGG